CCUACGGUGGGCUGCAGUGGGGAAUAUUGGACAAUGGGCGAAAGCCUGAUCCAGCCAUGCCGCGUGUGUGAAGAAGGCCUUCGGGUUGUAAAGCACUUUCAGUGGGGAAGAAAGCCUUGGGGCUAAUACCCUCGAGGAAGGACAUCACCCACAGAAGAAGCACCGGCUAACUCCGUGCCAGCAGCCGCGGUAAUACGGAGGGUGCGAGCGUUAAUCGGAAUUACUGGGCGUAAAGCGCGCGUAGGCGGUCUGAUAAGCCGGUUGUGAAAGCCCCGGGCUCAACCUGGGAACGGCAUCCGGAACUGUCAGGCUAGAGUGCAGGAGGGGAAGGUAGAAUUCCCGGUGUCGCGGGGAAAUGCGUAGAGAUCGGGAGGAACACCAGUGGCAAAGGCGGCCUUCUGGACUGACACUGACGCGGAGGUGCGAAAGCGUGGUUAGCAAACAGGAUUAGAUACCCCGGUAUC
RNAcentral lists this ribosomal RNA (464 nucleotides) under Vreelandella stevensii. RNAcentral describes it as "partial 16S ribosomal RNA". It matches the Rfam family "Bacterial small subunit ribosomal RNA", at positions 338 to 794 of the family's 1533-position model. Lineage: Bacteria; Pseudomonadati; Pseudomonadota; Gammaproteobacteria; Oceanospirillales; Halomonadaceae. The record is from RNAcentral.